UCGGGGUACUCGCGAAUGCACUCCUAGAUUNAAGUUUGAUCAUGGCUCAGAGCUGAACGCUNGCGGUAGGCCUAACACAUGCAAGUCGAACGGCAGCACAGGAGAGCUUGCUCUCUGGGUGGCGAGUGGCGGACGGGUGAGGAAUACAUCGGAAUCUACUUUUUCGUGGGGGAUAACGUAGGGAAACUUACGCUAAUACCGCAUACGACCUACGGGUGAAAUGCAGGGGGAUCGUUCGGAACNCCAUUUGAGCGACGGAUUGAAUGGAGCCGAUGUACUGGAAUUUAAGCGUAAAGGUUGGACUGAGAGAGGUAACANGUGGACCCCACCAACCC
RNAcentral lists this ribosomal RNA (335 nucleotides) under uncultured bacterium. RNAcentral's name for it is "bacterial SSU rRNA". It matches the Rfam family "Bacterial small subunit ribosomal RNA", at positions 1 to 304 of the family's 1533-position model. The record is from RNAcentral.